UGUAAUUUGUAGAGGAUGCUUUUGGUGCGGUACCUUCCGAGUUCCUUGGAACAGGACGCCUUAGAGGGUGAGAGCCCCGUACGGUUGGAUACCAAGCCUUUGUAAAGCUCCUUCGACGAGUCGAGUAGUUUGGGAAUGCUGCUCUAAAUGGGAGGUAAAUUUCUUCUAAAGCUAAAUACCGGCCAGAGACCGAUAGCGCACAAGUAGAGUGAUCGAAAGAUGAAAAGUACUUUGAAAAGAGGGUUAAAUAGCACGUGAAAUUGUUGAAAGGGAAGCGUUUAUGACCAGACCUUUGUCGGGCGGAUCAUCCGGUGUUCUUCACCGGUGCACUUCGCCUGGCUCAGGCCAGCAUCGAUUUCUGUAGGGGGAUAAAGGCUUAGGGAACGUAGCUCUCUUCGGGGAGUGUUAUAGCCCUGGGUGUAAUACCUUUACGGGGAUCGAGGUUCGCGCUUCUGCAAGGAUGCUGGCGUAAUGGUCAUCAAUGACCCGUCUUGAAACACGGACCAAGGAGUCGAACAUUUAUGCAAGUGUUUGGGUGUUAAACCCUCACGCGUAAUUAAAGUGAACGGAGGUGAGAGCCUUGUAUUAGGUGCAUCAUCGACCGAUCCUGAUGUAUUCGGAAGGAUUUGG
This 630-nucleotide ribosomal RNA is filed under the name Libertella acerina. RNAcentral describes it as "LSU rRNA". It matches the Rfam family "Eukaryotic large subunit ribosomal RNA", at positions 144 to 793 of the family's 3401-position model. Lineage: Eukaryota; Fungi; Ascomycota; Sordariomycetes; Xylariales. The record is from RNAcentral.